Molecule: ribosomal RNA, 615 nt
Filed under: Agabus guttatus
Lineage: Eukaryota; Metazoa; Arthropoda; Insecta; Coleoptera; Dytiscidae
Description: partial 16S ribosomal RNA
Rfam family: Bacterial large subunit ribosomal RNA
Source: RNAcentral
AUUUAAGGUUUGACCUGCCCACUGAAAUUAUUUGAAGGGCCGCAGUAAUUUGACUGUGCAAAGGUAGCAUAAUCAUUAGUUUUUUAAUUAAAAGCUUGUAUGAAGGGUUGGACGAGGUAAAUUCUGUCUCUAUUUAAUUUAAUAUAGAAUUUAAUUUUUAAGUUAAAAAGCUUAAAUUUUUUUAAAAGACGAGAAGACCCUAUAGAUCUUUAUAUUAUAGAUAUUAAUUUUAAUUAAGAAUAUUUUAUUUUUUAUUAUUUAUAUUAUUUUAUUGGGGUAAUAGGAAGAUUAAUCAAAUUCUUUUUUUUAUUUUUACAUUAAUAAAUGAUUAUAUGAUCCAAUUUUAUUGAUUAAAAGAUUAAGUUACCUUAGGGAUAACAGCGUAAUUUUUUUAGAGAGUUCAUAUCGAUAAAAAAGUUUGCGACCUCGAUGUUGGAUUAAAAAUUAUCUUAGGUGCAGAAGUUUAAGAUUUUGGUCUGUUCGACCAUUAAAUUUUUACAUGAUCUGAGUUCAGACCGGUGUAAGCCAGGUCGGUUUCUAUCUUUAAUAAAAUAAAAUAUUUUAGUACGAAAGGACCAAGUAUUUAGUAUAUUUAUAUUUAGUUUUUUUGAAUAU